Molecule: long non-coding RNA, 358 nt
Organism: Harpegnathos saltator (Jerdon's jumping ant)
Lineage: Eukaryota; Metazoa; Arthropoda; Insecta; Hymenoptera; Formicidae
Exons: 2
Source: RefSeq, a predicted model, not a curated record
UCUCAGACUUCUCUCUGGUCGUACCGUCUCGCAAUGGUUAUCCCCCCGAAACUCUACGCUCUGUCUCUAUAUUCUUAUGUCUAUGAUUUAAUUCCUUUGGUCGUCAUGGCAACGCGUCUGUCAACAUUAAGAUUAAUAUCAAUUAAUAUCAACUGCAGUUAGUAUUGGAUAACUAGAAAUUUGUGAAUUACCGAGGAUUGAAUUUUGGUGUAUUGAUAAUCAUUGACUGAUUGAAUGAUAAUCAUUGAGUAAAAACUACAUAUAAUAUAACGAUAAUAACAAAAGUUAGACGAGUGUCAUAUGGAUGGAACCUCGAAUUUUCCAGUAACCAGUUAUGAUAACAAGAAAAUUUAAAGUA